GGAGGGGUGGUCGAGUUUGGUUUAAGGCAGCGGUCUUGAAAACCGCCGAGGUGAAAGCCUCCGUGGGUUCAAAUCCCACCCCCUCCGCCA
Molecule: transfer RNA, 90 nt
Filed under: Victivallales bacterium
Lineage: Bacteria; Pseudomonadati; Lentisphaerota; Lentisphaeria; Victivallales
Description: tRNA-Ser
Rfam family: tRNA
About the family: Transfer RNA (tRNA) molecules are approximately 80 nucleotides in length. Their secondary structure includes four short double-helical elements and three loops (D, anti-codon, and T loops).
Source: RNAcentral